This 489-nucleotide ribosomal RNA is filed under the name uncultured Oscillospiraceae bacterium. Its description in RNAcentral is "partial 16S ribosomal RNA". Lineage: Bacteria; Bacillati; Bacillota; Clostridia; Eubacteriales; Oscillospiraceae. The record is from RNAcentral.
CACGUAGUUAGCCGUGGCUUAUUCAUUCGGUACCGUCACUUUCUUCGUCCCGAAUAAAAGAAGUUUACAACCCGAAAGCCUUCUUCCUUCACGCGGCGUUGCUGGGUCAGGCUUGCGCCCAUUGCCCAAUAUUCCCCACUGCUGCCUCCCGUAGGAGUCUGGGCCGUGUCUCAGUCCCAAUGUGGCCGGCCAACCUCUCAGUCCGGCUACUGAUCGUCGCCUUGGUGGGCCAUUACCCCGCCAACUAGCUAAUCAGACGCGAGCUCAUCUCAGAGCGAUAAAUCUUUGGCAUCCAAACCAUGCGACUCAGAUGCAUCAUGCGGUAUUAGCGGCUGUUUCCAGCCGUUAUUCCCCACUCCAAGGCAGAUUGCUCACGCGUUACUCACCCGUCCGCCACUUUCCUCAGCUUCCCUCAGACGAAUCCUUGUUCCACUGAUUCUCGUUCGACUUGCAUGUGUUAAGCACGCCGCCAGCGUUCAUCCUGAGCCA